GACCCUUCCCUUAUCCCUCCACAGGCGCUACCCCCAGCACCCCAUUACCUUCGGCCCCGCCCCCCUGAGGUUGUCGAACUCACUGCUCCCGCCGCCGCCGCCGCAUCCUAAACCGCCGCGGCUGCUAUAGCUACAGGGAGCCAAGGCAACCAGCUCUCGCGACACUUUCUUCAGCUACGGCGAGAACAGUCGAGAAGAGAGUCUCGCAAGAAAGUAAAUUAAUCAGGCUCGAGAGCGCUAAGUAUAUCUCGCGAUAGUAGUGUUUUAAAAUGGCGGACGGACGCAAGGCGCUCCACGGGUUGUCUGGAAAGGUUUGGAGGUGGGGCGCGGACGAGGAUGAACCCUGAACUGACCAGAAGUCGGAAAACUAUUGGAAGCGGAAUGGUCUGUCCGGGCGGGUGCAAGUUUUUUCGUUCGACAUGGAGAAGUUGGAGAUGAAGAAGGCAGGCCAAAAAUUGACCUUCCCAUCUCCCCAUUACCUUCUAGUAAGAGGUUUUCAUCCGUUCUUCCCCCACCCUGAUUUGUAAAAAGUAUUUGGCUUCACAGAAAUGUUUGUCCUGAUGCCCCGCCUCGCCAUCUCAGGAGACCAAAAUAGGAAAAAUUUUCAAUAAAAACCAACAUGUAAGAACAGGUGUUUGGCCUAGGAUAUGGAAGGGAAUCGUACUGGUGUGUGGAUUUGUACUUUGCACUCUCUGUUC
Molecule: long non-coding RNA, 698 nt
Filed under: Ictidomys tridecemlineatus (thirteen-lined ground squirrel)
Lineage: Eukaryota; Metazoa; Chordata; Mammalia; Rodentia; Sciuridae
Description: lncRNA (ENSSTOG00000034727.1)
Source: RNAcentral